AGCAGCCGCGGUAAUUCCAGCUCCAAUAGCGUAUAUUAAAGUUGUUGCAGUUAAAAAGCUCGUAGUUGAAUUUCGGGGUCAAUACGUCGGUCGUGCCUCGGUACGCACUAACGUUAUUGAUCCCUCCCUUCUGACGAACCGUGAUGUCAUUAAUUUGGUGUUGCGGGGAAUCAGGACUGUUACCUUGAAAAAAUUAGAGUGUUUAAAGCAGGCAAUCGCUCGAAUACAUUAGCAUGGAAUAAUGAAAUAGGACGUUCGAACCUAUUUUGUUGGUUUCUAGGAUCGACGUAAUGAUUAAUAGGGAUAGUUGGGGGCAUUAGUAUUCAAUUGUCAGAGGUGAAAUUCUUGGAUUUAUUGAAGACUAACUACUGCGAAAGCAUUUGCCAAGGAUGUUUUCAUUAAUCAAGAACGAAAGUUAGGGGAUCGAAGACGAUCAGAUACCGUCGUAGUCUUAACCAUAAACUAUGCCGACUAGGGAUCGGAUGAUGUUAAUUUUUUAAUGACUCAUUCGGCGCCUUACG
Molecule: ribosomal RNA, 521 nt
Filed under: uncultured Glomus
Lineage: Eukaryota; Fungi; Glomeromycota; Glomeromycetes; Glomerales; Glomeraceae
Description: SSU rRNA
Rfam family: Eukaryotic small subunit ribosomal RNA
Source: RNAcentral